GUGUCAGCCGCCGCGGUAAUACAGAGACUGCAAGCGUUGUUCGGAUUCACUGGGCGUAAAGGGUGCGCAGGCGGCCAGAUGUGUCGGGUGUGAAAGCUCGAGGCUCAACCUCGAAACUGCGCCCGAAACUAUCUGGCUAGAGUACUGGAGAGGAAAGCGGAAUUCACGGUGUAGCAGUGAAAUGCGUAGAUAUCGUGAGGAACACCAAUGGCGAAGGCAGCUUUCUGGACAGUUACUGACGCUCAGGCACGAAAGCGUGGGGAGCAAAAGGGAUUAGAUACCCCGGUAGUCC
Molecule: ribosomal RNA, 292 nt
Filed under: uncultured bacterium
Lineage: Bacteria
Description: partial 16S ribosomal RNA
Rfam family: Bacterial small subunit ribosomal RNA
Source: RNAcentral